CUUUCCUUUAACAAUAGUCCUGUGAGGCUAAGAAGGAGCAUAAGUAAAACUAGGAAUAGUUUUACACCUCAAAGAUAACAUUGUGCCCUCUUACUCUAACUAGGUAAGAGGUUUUUUUUC
Molecule: small RNA, 120 nt
Filed under: Carnobacterium divergens
Lineage: Bacteria; Bacillati; Bacillota; Bacilli; Lactobacillales; Carnobacteriaceae
Description: PyrR
Rfam family: PyrR binding site
About the family: This family represents the PyrR binding site and terminator structure. This RNA structure is found upstream of a variety of genes involved in pyrimidine biosynthesis and transport.
Source: RNAcentral